Molecule: ribosomal RNA, 403 nt
Filed under: uncultured bacterium
Lineage: Bacteria
Description: bacterial SSU rRNA
Rfam family: Bacterial small subunit ribosomal RNA
Source: RNAcentral
GAGGGAUCUUGGGCAAUGGGCGCAAGCCUGACCCAGCGACGCCGCGUGGAGGACGAAGGGCUUCGGCUCGUAAACUCCUUUUCCCGUGGACGAGACAAGGACGGUACACGGGGAAUAAGUCUCGGCUAACUACGUGCCAGCAGCCGCGGUAAAACGUAGGAGGCGAGCGUUAUUCGGAAUCACUGGGCGUAAAGGGCGUCUAGGCGGCACGAUAAGCGAGGUGUGAAAGCUCCUGGCUCAACCAGGAGAGUGCGCUUCGGACUGUCGAGCUUGGAGGGCAGGUGAAGGGGGUGGAAUUCCCGGUGGAGUGGUGGAAUGCGUAGAGAUCGGGAGGAACACCAGUGGCGAAAGCGGCCCCCUGGCCUGUUGCUGACGCUGAAGCGCGAAAGCGUGGGGAGCAAAC